Molecule: ribosomal RNA, 497 nt
Filed under: uncultured bacterium
Lineage: Bacteria
Description: partial 16S ribosomal RNA
Rfam family: Bacterial small subunit ribosomal RNA
Source: RNAcentral
GAUGAACGCUGGCGGCGUGCCUAAUACAUGCAAGUCGAGCGAACAGACGAGGAGCUUGCUCGUCUGACGUUAGCGGCGGACGGGUGAGUAACACGUGUAUAACCUACCUAUAAGACUGGGAUAACUUCGGGAAACCGGCUCUAAUACCGUAUAAUAUAUUGCACCGCAUGGGUCAAUAGUAAAAGACGGUUUUGCUGUCACUUAUAGAUGGAUAUCCGCCGCAUUAGAUAGUUGGUAAGGUAAAGGCUUAUCAAGGCAACGAUGCGUAGCCGACCUGAGAGGGUGAUAGCCCGCAUGAGAAGGGGAACGCGGACCAGACUCCUACGGGAGGCAGCAGUAUGGAAUGGUCCGCAGUAGGCGAAAGCAUGACGGAGCAGCGCGGCGUGAGUGAUAGAGGUGUCCGGAUCGGAAAACUCUGCUAUGAGGUAAGAACCAAUGUGUAAGUAACUGUGCACGUCUUGACGGUAACUAAUCAGAAAGCACCGGCUAACUACGUG